Molecule: long non-coding RNA, 428 nt
Filed under: Acanthaster planci (crown-of-thorns starfish)
Lineage: Eukaryota; Metazoa; Echinodermata; Asteroidea; Valvatida; Acanthasteridae
Description: uncharacterized LOC110973322, transcript variant X1
Source: RNAcentral
UGUGGGCUCAUCUUCUGGCAUCACUGCCUCAGUAGAAUUUGGGAAGGCCUCAUUACCAGGUGAAUGAACUGCCAUGGCUGCCGACAUGAACGUUAAGGUUGGCUAGCGUCAUGGUGCGAGUGGACUGACCGAUGAAAUCUCCAAAGUGAAGAGGCGAGUUGCAUCAUAACUCUCACAGACCUCCUCAUAUAAAAGCUGUGGGCAGGCCCCAGGAGAAGCAGACCAUGAUGCUAAUGAGAAGAGCGCCCUCGCCUCCUUCAACCUGGAAAGAAGGAAGAUGGAGGACGAGAUCCUAUGGGACUUCACAGAGAUGAUUCAUGAGAAUGUCAAGGAAAGGAAGUAACUCGGCUAGAUGCCAGUCCUCGCCUCCAUCACUGAGGAGGAACAGUUUCCAAGAUUGAAUGAGGGACCCUCAUCAGAAUCUUAGG